This 484-nucleotide ribosomal RNA is filed under the name uncultured bacterium. Its description in RNAcentral is "partial 16S ribosomal RNA". It matches the Rfam family "Bacterial small subunit ribosomal RNA", at positions 30 to 507 of the family's 1533-position model. The record is from RNAcentral.
AUUGAACGCUGGCGGCAGGCCUAACACAUGCAAGUCGAGCGGAUGAAGGGAGCUUGCUCCUUGAUUCAGCGGCGGACGGGUGAGUAAUGCCUAGGAAUCUGCCUGGUAGUGGGGGAUAACGUCCGGAAACGGGCGCUAAUACCGCAUACGUCCUGAGGGAGAAAGUGGGGGAUCUUCGGACCUCAGGCUCUCAGAUGAUCCUAGGUCGACUUGGCUAGUUGGUGGGGUAAAGGCCUACCAAGGCUACGAUCCGUAACUGGUCUGAGAGGAUGAUCAGUCACACUGGAACUGAGACACGGUCCAGACUCCUACGGGAGGCAGCAGUGGGGAAUAUUGGACAAUGGGCGAAAGCCUGAUCCAGCCAUGCCGCGUGUGUGAAGAAGGUCUUCGGAUUGUAAAGCACUUUAAGUUGGGAGGAAGGGCAGUAAGUUAAUACCUUGCUGUUUUGACGUUACCAAAAGAGUAAGCACCGGCUAACUUCGUG